UACGGGGGGGGCAAGCGUUGUUCGGAAUUACUGGGCGUAAAGGCUCGUAGGCGGCCAACUAAGUCGGAUGUGAAAUCCCCAGGCUUAACCUGGGAACUGCAUCCGAUACUGGUCGGCUUGAAUCCGGGAGAGGGAUGCAGAAUUCCAGGUGUAGCGGUGAAAUGCGUAGAUAUCUGGAGGAAUACCGGUGGCGAAGGCGGCAUCCUGGACCGGCAUUGACGCUGAACAGCGAAAGCUAGGGGAGCGAAACGGGAGUUAGAAAC
RNAcentral lists this ribosomal RNA (263 nucleotides) under uncultured bacterium. Its description in RNAcentral is "partial 16S ribosomal RNA". It matches the Rfam family "Bacterial small subunit ribosomal RNA", at positions 524 to 785 of the family's 1533-position model. The record is from RNAcentral.